Apis dorsata (giant honeybee) is the source of this 375-nucleotide long non-coding RNA. RefSeq lists it as uncharacterized. The transcript has 2 exons. The record is from RefSeq and is a predicted model, not a curated record. Lineage: Eukaryota; Metazoa; Arthropoda; Insecta; Hymenoptera; Apidae.
AAGAGAUAUAUAUAUAUAUAUAUAUAUAUAUAUACAAGUGAUCGAUAUAUAUAUAUAUAUAUAAUUGAUUUAAGGGCUGUAUUAAUCUACACGUAAAUUAGAAAAGGAUAGACAGAGAUAUACAGUACGAUUAAUCGAUGAAAAGCAUUAGAAUUAAUUAUUAUACCGAUUAAUUAAUUGAAUGCAUACACGUGUAUACAUUUAACAGCAGCAGUAAAAAAUGAUGUACUUGUAUACAUAAAUACCAAUACAAUAUUAUUAUUACAAUUAUUAUUAUAUAUUAUACAUACAAAUAUAUUAUAUUGUAUACACAUUAGUGAAUGUUCAAUGUUGAAAUAAAAUACAUAUACGUUGUUUACACCAUAACAGGUUAUA